This 466-nucleotide ribosomal RNA is filed under the name uncultured bacterium. RNAcentral's name for it is "partial 16S ribosomal RNA". It matches the Rfam family "Bacterial small subunit ribosomal RNA", at positions 29 to 507 of the family's 1533-position model. The record is from RNAcentral.
AUGCACGCUGGCGGCGUGCUUAACACAUGCAAGUCGAACGGAAAGGCCCAAGCUUGCUUGGGUACUCGAGUAGCGAACGGGUGAGUAACACGUGGGUGAUCUGCCCUGCACUUCGGGAUAAGCCUGGGAAACUGGGUCUAAUACCGGAUAGGACCACAUUUUGGAUGGUGUGGUGGAAAGUUUUUCGGUGUGGGAUGAGCUCGCGGCCUAUCAGCUUGUUGGUGGGGUAAUGGCCUACCAAGGCGUCGACGGGUAGCCGGCCUGAGAGGGUGUACGGCCACAUUGGGACUGAGAUACGGCCCAGACUCCUACGGGAGGCAGCAGUGGGGAAUAUUGCACAAUGGGCGCAAGCCUGAUGCAGCGACGCCGCGUGGGGGAUGACGGCCUUCGGGUUGUAAACUCCUUUCGCUAGGGACGAAGCGUUUUUGUGACGGUACCUGGAGAAGAAGCACCGGCUAACUACGUG